UGUUUUUGAGAUUGAAAAACUAGGAAAGACCUUGCAGUCGUUGCAUCUGAAUGUAAUAGCUUCCCAGCAGAAACGCAAAAUGGUUCUUGUUCAGCUAGAACAGCAGAUAACACAGCUUGAAAAGGACCUUACAGAUGCCAGGAAACUUUGUAGUCAGAAAGAUCAGGUAUGCUCUUGUGAUGAGAAAAAAACCCAAGCAAAACAGUUAUCUCUAAAAAAAAUCACAUCGCAAAAGAGGGUGGAAGAAGCUCGGAUGUGUACCAUUUCAUAUAUAUUUGUUAUGAAUUCCAAAGGAGGAGAGGAAAAAAGCAACACUAUUUUAUCACAAAUUUUGAAAUAUGCAAAAGAGAUGACCUUCUGAAAAAAUCCAAAGCGGCUCUCCUUCAGGCAAGGGAAGAUAUCAAAGCUGAAGUGGCUGAGGUGGAGCACUCUGACAGACUGGUCAAGCUGGUGAAAGCAACUGCCGAGGACACUCAGAGAGAGAAAGCCAUCCUAUUUAGAGCUGAAAUUCGGCAGCCCAAGAAUUUGCCAGUCAGGAUGAAAAACUUCUAAUGGAAUCCAGCUUGAAAGACUGUCAAGGGCUGCUAAGUGAGCAAGAGGCAGAAACACUUCGCCCAGACCAGUAGAAAAAUCAGAGGCAGAGCUGAAGCCACUGAGAAAACGCAUUAUAGAUUCUCAUGAAGAAAUUCGUGAUUACAAUGUUUCCAUAUGUUCCAAAUGAUAUCAAGGAUCUUGAUGGCUUUCUGAGUUGCAUCAUAUACUGGUUGCUAGAACCUGGAGGGGAGGGGGCACCAAUUCUCAGCACGUGUUCAUUUGGGGCAUUCCCUGUGCCAACAGAGGAGCGAUUUCAGCGUGCAAAACCAGACGUGGUCUGACUGGUGACGGGCUGGAGCAGCAAGCAGUUUUGAGCAGGGAAAUACAAAUGCAGUUCCAAGAGUCCAAAGUCAAAGCAUGAUGAGUUGAACAGAGUACAGAGUACAAAAGAAAAGCCAAGAAGUAGUCCGAGGGUCAGGGUCCAAGGCAAAGGUCUGAUAAGCACGCCAAGGUGUACAGAAUUCAGAAAAGAACUUAUAACAGGCAUAUUUUUUGACUUCAGAUGCUCACCACAAACCUGGAAGCAAAUACAGUGAAUCUGAGAUGGUGGAAGAUCACUUCAUUAAUGGCCUGAAGCAUUGGGAGGGUUAAGAGCACAAAUUAUUAUCUAAUCUGGAGGAACCAGAGCACAAAUCCAAGAGGAAUAAUAUUCUGCCUGCAGGGAGGACCCAUACAAAAACAGCUGCUUUCAUCAGAAGAGGGCACUUGACUUGGAACCUUCCAAUAUUUGGUGGUUAGACACAGACCCUAAGGCAGCCAUUUGGAUGUUGGCUGUCCCCACCAUCUUGAUAGCCAUUUGAUAGUGGUGCUCACUCAACAUACUCAAAAUUCCAAAAGUGCCCACUUACUCAACAAGAUUAAGGUCACCUGGUUUAUUAUAAUUGACAGCUGCUCUGCAGUAUCUUUCACAAUAAUCUGAGUUCUGCAUGCAAGCAGAUGCUCUGCCAUUGAAUCAGACCCUGUCCUUGGGGCUUUUGCUCCAGUGUGGCUUAGAAGCACAAAAAACCCUUUCAUAAGUUGUGCAGUUCCUUUGGAGGAGUUGACUGUAUCCAUGCCUGCUGACCUGGCUAUUACCAGCUGAUAUAUUAACUGCAUAUGAAGAGUAGAAAUGAAUGCAACCAUAAAAUCCUAGAGCAGGGGUGUUUGUUACAAGGGCCGGAUAUGACAUAAAUGUGACUUGGCUGGGCUCAGGGGGUGGGGGGCUGGCUGCCUCAGUUGGUCCCAGAAUGACAAAGGGGAGAAGGGUGUGUACUUGAACUGGCAAGCCUGCAGCAGGGUGGCUGCCUUGAGAGGGCUUAUCAGGCCUGCCAGCCAGCUGAGGCAACCCCACAUACCCAGUGGACUUGCCAGGUCAGAAAGAAGUGAGGA
Sphaerodactylus townsendi is the source of this 1962-nucleotide long non-coding RNA. RefSeq lists it as uncharacterized. The record is from RefSeq and is a predicted model, not a curated record. The transcript has 7 exons. Lineage: Eukaryota; Metazoa; Chordata; Lepidosauria; Squamata; Sphaerodactylidae.